GAAAUGCGAUAAGUAGUGUGAAUUGCAGAAUUCAGUGAAUCAUCGAAUCUUUGAACGCACAUUGCGCCCCUUGGUAUUCCAUGGGGUAUGCCUGUUCGAGCGUCAUUUACACCCUCAAGCUCUGCUUGGUGUUGGGCGUCUGUCCCGCCGCUUGCCGGCGUGAGGACUCGCCCCAAAGGUAUUGGCAGCAGCCUUUGUCAGCUUCUCGCGCAGCGAAGAUUGCGUCGACUGGGGCAUGGCGUUGGGCUCGCAUCCACAAAGUUUACCACGAUUUGACCUCGGAUCAGGUAGGGAUACCCGCUGAACUUAAGCAU
RNAcentral lists this unclassified non-coding RNA (314 nucleotides) under plant metagenome. Its description in RNAcentral is "partial contains 5.8S ribosomal RNA, internal transcribed spacer 2, and large subunit ribosomal RNA". The stretch from base 1 to 105 matches the Rfam family "5.8S ribosomal RNA", at positions 50 to 154 of the family's 154-position model. The record is from RNAcentral.